GACGAACGCUGGCGGCGUGCUUAACACAUGCCAGUCGAACGGGGAACUCCUCUUGCGGGGGGAUUAGUGGUGAACGGUUGCGUAACACGUGGGCAACCUGCCCACAGCCCUGGCACAACUCCAAGAACUUGGGGCCACUACCGGUUAUGCCCGCUGACCGCAUGGUCUGGAGGCGGAAAGAUUUGUCGGCUGGGGAUGGGCGCGCGGCCUAUCAGCUUGUUGGUGGGGUGGGGGCCUACCAAGCCGACGACGGAUAGCCGGCCUGAGAGCGUGACCGGCCACACUGGGACUGAGACACGGCCCAGACUCGAACGGGAGGCAGCAGUGGGGAAUAUUGCGCAAUGGGCGAAAGCCUGACGCAGCGACGCCGGGGGGGGGAUGACGGCCUUCGGGUUGAGAACCUCUGUCAGCAGGGACGAAGCGAAAGUGACGGUACCUGAAGAAGAAGCACCGGCCAACUACGUG
Molecule: ribosomal RNA, 465 nt
Filed under: uncultured bacterium
Lineage: Bacteria
Description: partial 16S ribosomal RNA
Rfam family: Bacterial small subunit ribosomal RNA
Source: RNAcentral